CAACACUGUGACCUUACAGUUCUUUACUUAGGGAUCCAGAUCCAGAACACUUCAAAUGUUGCUAUUUAAGUCUUCACCAGAAGGUUUGGUGAUAAGUGCAAGGGAUGUUGACAUAAUUUCUGGAGAGUAAGCAAAUGAUAGUGUGCAAGGGAUAUACCUGGCUAAAAGAUUACACAGGCAUCUCUGUCCUUGAAGGAACAAAAUGAAGGAUCCAACAAAACCCAGAAGACUAACAUCUUUAGAGAACCAGUCUCCGUGCUACAAAGAAGCUUGAACCACCUCUUGAAGAGGACUGCAUAGAGAGGAACCAUUAGGUAUCAUCAGUCCUCUGCUAAUUCUUCAGGUGUGGACUUAUCUUACAGCUCUGUGAAUUUCUUCUAAGGGAUAGCACCCUGGGAUGAGAA
Neofelis nebulosa (Clouded leopard) is the source of this 404-nucleotide long non-coding RNA. RefSeq lists it as uncharacterized. Lineage: Eukaryota; Metazoa; Chordata; Mammalia; Carnivora; Felidae. The record is from RefSeq and is a predicted model, not a curated record. The transcript is spliced from 3 exons.